ACCCAGCACCUAUUUCUUUACACUGGACUGACAGACCUCGCAGCAGAGCAGGCCAGAGCACAGGCACAGAGAGAGGAAUUUAGCAUUUAUGCUAAUAGAGCCAACAAACACAGAGCUGCAGGGCAACAGGCUGCACAGCAGAGAAUACCAACAGCUCUUCCAAAGAUCUGCUGGAGAAAAGCGCUGCGAAUAACAAAUUAGGAAGCAGACAUAACAUCUCUGCAUGAGCUGCAUGAGGAAUACAAAUGAAGACAAGCCAACAUCACAAAAUUCAAUGAUCUCAUAAUUAGAAGUAUGCAUAUCAAUAUUUUCUUGACAACCAGGAUGAGGCAGAGAUGAGCAAUCGAUCCCUAACCCAGGUCUGGACAGGCCUGGCGUCCCAAUAACAUUGGCUUCUUGCAGAUGAUGGGCAGCUGCAGCAACAAGAAAUGAGGCACCAUCCUGACCCACCCAUCGCUGUGCGCCACACCAUUCGCCAUCUCUGAGCGCGAUGCCUACCAGCUCAUGUCUGGAUAUACAGGACUUGCUCACAGCGUGAGGUCUGCUGGCACAAGGAGGGAAAUGCUGCAAUGGUUCAUCUUCUGAGGUCCCAUUUAAGCAUGAGGUGCGAUUUUUCCAUAGCUCAGUUUCUCUAACGAUCGCCAAAUCUUACUUUCUAUUGUUUCUGUUAGAGUACUGUGUUUAUUCAAAGCAGAAUAACUAAACCUUUUAAAAGGAGAGUAUCACAGAACACAGCUGGCUUUUUUGGCAUGCUGCAGCCUACAGUAACCAACAUAUAGUUCAUUGUAAUGGGAAGCAGAUUUUUAAAGUAGGAUGUUAAGUAAUUGCGAGCCCCCGAGCAACAAACAGACCAAAUCAGAGUGACCCAGACAGAAGUCAGGCAUCUCUGAAAGUGCUGUAACACCCUGACACAACUCAUUUCAAUCGAAAGCACCUUCAGAGGGAUGGAGUAUUUCAAAGGUUGCACCACACAGUCAAAUUCUACUUGCAAAAACUUCCUGUAAUAACUUCAUUUGUAAUUCAUUUUACUAGUCAUACAUAAAAGUGGGGCUGCAGGGAUCACAUGCUAUAGACUGUUGCAAAGGGAAGUACAAAAAGCAUACAAACAGGACAUGUCCACUUGAAACAGUUUAAGCUGUUCCAGACAGACAGGUUUGAAUAAGCAGCAUUUCAUUAGUCAUCACGGUUAGAAAGUCCUAGAGGCAGGAGUGAAACACGUUGCAAAGAAAGAGAUGGAUUAGGGUUAGAUUUUUAUCAUUUGUGGAGUGAUACACAUUUCCAUUAUUAAAGACAUUUUUAUCAGCACACUAAAUUAUUAAAACUUUGAUCACUUCAUAUCUGGAGAAUUGAUGCUGUGGUUUUAAAGCCUGACAUGUCUAACGUAUCUGAAUUAUAACUUAAUAAAUACUCCCUUCUAACAUCAGUUCUGUAUUACACACAUUUACUGAAACAAUUUUGGUCAGGCAACAGAGGUACAAAGCAUGAGCUACGGUCUGUUGCUUGGAUCUCUUUGAAAAGACCAACACACACAGAAAUGAGUGACACGUUCUUGUUGAAAUGCACGUGCAAUCUGCAUCCAGAGUGCAGGUUUGUUAAGGAAUGAUUGUGUGAGCACCUUGAUUUACACAGUAGGACUCACUGUAACUUUGCAUCGGUGCUUUUGCUUCACCACCUGCUGACACAGAGCUCCAUGCUUCAUUUUGCCAUCUCCCCACACAGUGUCAGUAACACAGUGCUUCCAGCAGGCAGCCAGCACGACCCCAUGAGCUACCUGGACUCAGGUUGGAGCACAGAUAAUGACAUAUCUACAAACACCAAUUCCCCAAUCCCUUUCUGUUACGUCCGUGAUUUUCCUCCUAUAGAGUAUGAUGACACAUUCAAUGACACCAGAAGCACUUACAGCUCAUUGCCAAAACACAGAUGAAUGCUCCUGGAUGGUCCUCACACUGCAGCCACAACAGUCCCAAAGAAACAUUGUGGAGCUACCUGGAAAGCAGCGAUGCCUCUGCCUACUGACCCCCCUUGGAUUUCUCAUGUACUUUCUGAGUGUGACAAACAUUUCUAGUAGGAAUCCAUUAGACAGCUCCCAUGCCAUUAGAGGAUAAAGGAUAUUGGCAGCCAGCAGCUGACACUGCCUAUCAUUCUCAAGUGAUACCGAAGAUGUCUUUUCUGAUAUUUUUACAUUCUAAAGUUGCAGAUCAACUUCCACAUUUCAAAUUCAAACACAUACAAAUACUUCCACAUUAUUCUUUUCUAAUUUAUAUCCUUCUGGAUAACGUGCUUUCAUUCUAGUUUUCUUUGGUAUGCCUACACUUUUUGCUAUAUACAGCAUAUAUUAUAAUAGAAUAGCUUGGGUUGGAAGGGACCUCAAAGAUCAUCAAGUUCCAAACCUCAGUGCGAAAGGCAGGGCUGCCAGCCCCUAGAUCAAGUACUACAUCAGACUGCCCAGGGCCCCAUCCAACCUGGUCUUGAGCAUUUCUGGGGAUGGGACAUCCACAGUCUCUCUGGGCAGCCUGUUCCAGCACCACACCACCCUCUCUGUGAAACACUUCCCCCUGACAUCUGAUUUAAAUCUUUCCUUAGUUUCUUUAACAGCAUUCCCCCUUGUACUAUCAAAUAAAUACAGCAAGUCAAUAAUUUUCAUAAAACAUGCAGCUCUUCCAAACAACUAAAGAGGAAGAAGCCUUUAAAAAUGAGCAUUCUUUACUUCCUUAUCUUGUUAAAGCAAUAAAGGUGCAAACGCUCUAUGGCUGUGAAGCUGGACGCAUAUCACGUGCCAUCCCUGGACAACAAUAAAGUUCACAAAUGGAAAA
This is a long non-coding RNA of Gallus gallus (chicken), 2813 nucleotides long. RefSeq lists it as uncharacterized. NCBI's taxonomy places the organism in Eukaryota, Metazoa, Chordata, Aves, Galliformes, Phasianidae. The transcript has 2 exons. The record is from RefSeq and is a predicted model, not a curated record.